AAUAUUGCGCAAUGGAGGGAACUCUGACGCAGCGACGCCGCGUGAGCGAUGAAGGUUUUCGGAUCGUAAAGCUCUGUCCUUGGGGAAGAAGGCGGCCAUUUUUGGCCACUUGACGGUACCCAAGGAGGAAGCCCCGGCUAACUACGUGCCAGCAGCCGCGGUAAUACGUAGGGGGCAAGCGUUGUCCGGAAUUAUUGGGCGUAAAGGGCGCGCAGGCGGUCUUUUAAGUCUGAUGUGAAAUCUCGUAGCUUAACUACGAGCGGUCAUUGGAAACUGGAAGACUUGAGGACAGAAGAGGAGAGUGGAAUUCCACGUGUAGCGGUGAAAUGCGUAGAGAUGUGGAGGAACACCAGUGGCGAAGGCGACUCUCUGGUCUGUAACUGACGCUGAGGCGCGAAAGCGUGGGGAGCGAACA
Molecule: ribosomal RNA, 415 nt
Filed under: uncultured bacterium
Lineage: Bacteria
Description: partial 16S ribosomal RNA
Rfam family: Bacterial small subunit ribosomal RNA
Source: RNAcentral